Centropristis striata (black sea bass) is the source of this 190-nucleotide small nuclear RNA. RefSeq annotates it as U2 spliceosomal RNA. NCBI's taxonomy places the organism in Eukaryota, Metazoa, Chordata, Actinopteri, Perciformes, Serranidae. The transcript has a single exon. The record is from RefSeq and is a predicted model, not a curated record.
AGCGCCGCUCUCGGCCUUUUGGCUAAGAUCAAGUGUAGUAUCUGUUCUUAUCAGUUUAAUAAAGAUCAAUAAAUAAAUUCAGCGCCGCAAUUUCAAAAUCAGUUCACCACAUGAUGUGUCUCUGGCAUCAGCACUCUGACACAUAUUAUAUAAUUAUUAUUAUAUUUGUAAAAAUGUUAGAAGAUGCUUU